Molecule: ribosomal RNA, 596 nt
Filed under: Microbacterium sp.
Lineage: Bacteria; Bacillati; Actinomycetota; Actinomycetes; Micrococcales; Microbacteriaceae
Description: bacterial SSU rRNA
Rfam family: Bacterial small subunit ribosomal RNA
Source: RNAcentral
UUUGGUUGGGGAUGGGCUCGCGGCCUAUCAGCUUGUUGGUGAGGUAAUGGCUCACCAAGGCGUCGACGGGUAGCCGGCCUGAGAGGGUGACCGGCCACACUGGGACUGAGACACGGCCCAGACUCCUACGGGAGGCAGCAGUGGGGAAUAUUGCACAAUGGGCGGAAGCCUGAUGCAGCAACGCCGCGUGAGGGAUGACGGCCUUCGGGUUGUAAACCUCUUUUAGCAGGGAAGAAGCGAAAGUGACGGUACCUGCAGAAAAAGCACCGGCUAACUACGUGCCAGCAGCCGCGGUAAUACGUAGGGUGCAAGCGUUAUCCGGAAUUAUUGGGCGUAAAGAGCUCGUAGGCGGUUUGUCGCGUCUGCUGUGAAAUCCCGAGGCUCAACCUCGGGUCUGCAGUGGGUACGGGCAGACUAGAGUGCGGUAGGGGAGAUUGGAAUUCCUGGUGUAGCGGUGGAAUGCGCAGAUAUCAGGAGGAACACCGAUGGCGAAGGCAGAUCUCUGGGCCGUAACUGACGCUGAGGAGCGAAAGGGUGGGGAGCAAACAGGCUUAGAUACCCUGGUAGUCCACCCCGUAAACGUUGGGAACUAGUUG